This 491-nucleotide ribosomal RNA is filed under the name uncultured bacterium. Its description in RNAcentral is "partial 16S ribosomal RNA". It matches the Rfam family "Bacterial small subunit ribosomal RNA", at positions 29 to 506 of the family's 1533-position model. The record is from RNAcentral.
AGUGAACGCUGGCGGUAGGCCUAACACAUGCAAGUCGAACGGCAGCACAGUAAGAGCUUGCUCUUACGGGUGGCGAGUGGCGGACGGGUGAGGAAUACAUCGGAAUCUACUUUUUCGUGGGGGAUAACGUAGGGAAACUUACGCUAAUACCGCAUACGACCUACGGGUGAAAGCAGGGGAUCUUCGGACCUUGCGCGAUUGAAUGAGCCGAUGUCGGAUUAGCUAGUUGGCGGGGUAAAGGCCCACCAAGGCGACGAUCCGUAGCUGGUCUGAGAGGAUGAUCAGCCACACUGGAACUGAGACACGGUCCAGACUCCUACGGGAGGCAGCAGUGGGGAAUAUUGGACAAUGGGCGCAAGCCUGAUCCAGCCAUACCGCGUGGGUGAAGAAGGCCUUCGGGUUGUAAAGCCCCUUUGUUGGGAAAGAAAAGCAGCAGGUUAAUACCCCGCUGUUCUGACGGUACCCAAAGAAUAAGCACCGGCUAACUGCGU